GACGAACGCUGGCGGCGUGCUUAACACAUGCAAGUCGAACGGAGAUAUAUCAGUAGCAAUACGGAUAUAUCUUAGUGGCGGACGGGUGAGUAACGCGUGAGCAACCUACCUUUUACAGGGGGAUAACACAGGGAAACCUGUGCUAAUACCGCAUAACAUACUAUUGGGGCAUCCCGAUGGUAUCAAAGGAGCAAUCCGGUAAAAGAUGGGCUCGCGUCCGAUUAGAUAGUUGGUGGGGUAACGGCCUACCAAGUCAACGAUCGGUAGCCGGACUGAGAGGUUGGCCGGCCACAUUGGGACUGAGACACGGCCCAGACUCCUACGGGAGGCAGCAGUGGGGAAUAUUGGUCAAUGGGGGAAACCCUGAACCAGCGACGCCGCGUGAAGGAAGAAGGCCUUCGGGUUGUAAACUUCUUUGACAGGGGACGAUAAUGACGGUACCCUGAGAACAAGCCACGGCUAACUACGUG
This 470-nucleotide ribosomal RNA is filed under the name uncultured bacterium. Its description in RNAcentral is "bacterial SSU rRNA". It matches the Rfam family "Bacterial small subunit ribosomal RNA", at positions 28 to 507 of the family's 1533-position model. The record is from RNAcentral.